RNAcentral lists this ribosomal RNA (468 nucleotides) under uncultured bacterium. RNAcentral's name for it is "partial 16S ribosomal RNA". It matches the Rfam family "Bacterial small subunit ribosomal RNA", at positions 28 to 507 of the family's 1533-position model. The record is from RNAcentral.
GACGAACGUUGGCGGCGUGCUUAACACAUGCAAGUCGAACGGAAAGGCCCUGCUUUUGUGGGGUGCUCGAGUGGCGAACGGGUGAGUAACACGUGAGUAACCUGCCCUUGACUUUGGGAUAACUUCAGGAAACUGGGGCUAAUACCGGAUAGGAGCUCCUGCUGCAUGGUGGGGGUUGGAAAGUUUCGGCGGUUGGGGAUGGACUCGCGGCUUAUCAGCUUGUUGGUGGGGUAGUGGCUUACCAAGGCUUUGACGGGUAGCCGGCCUGAGAGGGUGACCGGCCACAUUGGGACUGAGAUACGGCCCAGACUCCUACGGGAGGCAGCAGUGGGGAAUAUUGCACAAUGGGCGGAAGCCUGAUGCAGCAACGCCGCGUGCGGGAUGACGGCCUUCGGGUUGUAAACCGCUUUCGCCUGUGACGAGGCGUGAGUGACGGUAAUGGGUAAAGAAGCACCGGCUAACUACGUG